AAGUCGUAACAAGGUUUCCGUAGGUGAACCUGCGGAAGGAUCAUUAAUGAAGUCUGGGCUUCGGCCCUCUCUCUUCUACACACUUGUGAACUUACACUGUUGCUUUGGCAGGUUUCCGGAGAGGCGAAAGCUUCGAAGGUCAGGCCGAAAGGCGCCUGCCAAGGACAUUUAUCCACCCUUUUUAUAUUGUCUGAUUUUUGUUUUAAACAAAUUAUAAUAAAACUUUCAACAAUGGAUCUCUUGGCUCUGGCAUCGAUGAAGAACGCAGCGAAAUGCGAUAAGUAAUGUGAAUUGCAGAAUUCAGUGAAUCAUCGAAUCUUUGAACGCACAUUGCGCCCUCUGGUAUUCCGGAGGGCAUGCCUGUUUGAGUGUCAUUAAUCUCUCACAAAACCUUUUGGUUUCUGUCGAUGUUGGGAGCUGCGACCCCUCGUGGGACGCUCUCCUUAAAUGUAUUGGUGCGGCCCGCCGCCCGGUUACACAACGUUCUAGGUUCGUCCAACUCGUUGCUCAGCCGGUGCAAUCUUGGUGCUGCACCUAAAGCCCGCCUUGUGCCUUGUGCUCUUGGCUAACUUCAUUUAUUGACCUCAGACCAGGUAGGAAUACGCGCUGAACUUAAGCAUAUCAAUAAGCGCAGGAAAGAAACUAACUAGGAUGCCUUCAGUAACGGCGAGCGAAGCAGGCAUAGCUCAAAUUUGUAAUCUGGCGCCUUUGGCGUCCGAGUUGUAUUUUCUAGAAGCGAGUUCGGCGACAGCUCCUACCCAAGUCCGUUGGAACGCGGCGUCAUGGAGGGUGAGAAUCCCGUGAAUGGUAGGAUGUCUGCUGCUAUGUGAACCGCCUUCGAAGAGUCGAGUUGUUUGGGAAUGCAGCUCUAAAUGGGAGGUAAAUUUCUUCUAAAGCUAAAUAUUGGCCAGAGACCGAUAGCGAACAAGUAGAGUGAUCGAAAGAUGAAAAGAACUUUGAAAAGAGAGUUAAACAGUACGUGAAAUUGUUGAAAGGGAAGCGCUUGAGAUCAGACUUCCUGUCUGGACUGUCCUUGCUUUUGCUUGGGUCAACAGUCCAGGCGUGGAGGCCAGCAUCAGUUUUGACGGCCGGAUAAAGGCCUUGGGAAGGUAGCUCCUCUCGGGGAGUGUUAUAGCCCAUGGUGUAAUACGGCCAGUUGGGACUGAGGACCGCGGCUUUGCCUAGGAUGCUGGCGUAAUGGUCUUAAGCGAC
RNAcentral lists this ribosomal RNA (1212 nucleotides) under uncultured fungus. Its description in RNAcentral is "eukaryotic LSU rRNA". The stretch from base 580 to 1212 matches the Rfam family "Eukaryotic large subunit ribosomal RNA", at positions 1 to 648 of the family's 3401-position model. Lineage: Eukaryota; Fungi. The record is from RNAcentral.